AUUGAACGCUGGCGGCAUGCCUUACACAUGCAAGUCGAACGGCAGCACGGGAGCUUGCUCCUGGUGGCGAGUGGCGAACGGGUGAGUAAUACAUCGGAACGUACCCAGUAGUGGGGGAUAACGCACCGAAAGGUGCGCUAAUACCGCAUACGACCUACGGGUGAAAGCGGGGGACCGUAAGGCCUCGCGCUAUUGGAGCGGCCGCUGUCUGAUUAGCUAGUUGGCGGGGUAAAAGCCCACCAAGGCGACGAUCAGUAGCUGGUCUGAGAGGACGAGCAGCCACACUGGGACUGAGACACGGCCCAGACUGCUACGGGAGGCAGCAGUGGGGGAUUUUGGAGAAUGGGGGCAACCCUGAUCCAGCAAUGCCGCGUGUGCGAAGAAGGCCAUCGGGUUGUAAAGCACUUUUGUCAGGGAAGAAAUCUUUCAGGCUAAUACCCUUGGAAGGAUGACGGUACCUGAAGAAUAAGCACCGGCUAACUACGUGCCAGCCGCCGCGGUAA
This 503-nucleotide ribosomal RNA is filed under the name uncultured bacterium. Its description in RNAcentral is "partial 16S ribosomal RNA". It matches the Rfam family "Bacterial small subunit ribosomal RNA", at positions 29 to 523 of the family's 1533-position model. The record is from RNAcentral.